GCCGUUGAUGAUUAUAGCGAUUUGGGGUUAGGUGACACAUGGAAAGCCUCAAUACAAACAAUCUCAAAUCCCUCUUUCGUCGAUCCUGCCUCAACCCUAAUUCCUUCACAUCAAUAUCAUGUAAACCACAAGGUCGCUUCUUUUAUUUACAUGCAUGAAAUUCAUUGCCUAAUAACUAACAACACGAUUCGUCCAAUAAAAUCGUAGAUGUUGAAUUCAAUGGUUUUAAUUCGAUUUCGUUUAUACGAUUUGACUUUUUCUUAUUCUAACGGCUACGAUUAUUGUAAGCCUUUUGAUUGGAUUUUGUUAUAACAACUAUUAUCCCAAUUAUUAUGGCUUUGGAGGUCUUCUAACAUGGAGAUGAAUUCAAGUUGAAUUAAUGACAUUUCGAACCGUUGACUUUUUGUAUUUGGGGUCAAUAAGUAGUGUCAUUACAUGGCUAUAUGGUAUUUUGUGUACAAAAAUAUGAUAUGAUGUGAGUAAGUUCCUGCCUGUUUCCUAAAUCAUUCAUUCGAGUGGUAAUCAACUCAUAAAAUAUAGUAUUUAACAGAGAUGUAUAGACUAGAGUUAUAUACUAAUCUGGGAGCAACUUCUAGGCAACUUCAUUAAGACUUAUUAAAAGCUAUAAAAGGAUGUAACGAGGAUUCAUUUCGAGUAUAUACUUUCAUUUCAUCUCUCUAAAAAAAAUCUCUCUAAACUCGGCCUUCUUUUUGCAUCUUUCUCUCUCUUCUGGUUUUCUAAAUCUGUAAAGAAAACUUCCCAAAAAAACCAGUCACAAUGUGACAUUAGACCUACAUAUUGCUAGAUAACAUAAGCACAACAACAUUUGGGUGUGUUUGGUUCGUUAGAUUCUGUGGGAUUUGUUCGAUUCCAUUAAUUCCCACGUUUGGUUGUUAAAAGUGCAUGAAAUUGACAGAUUUACAAACCAAACAGAAACAUACACAUAGGGAAUGAAUUGAAUUCUAUUCAAUCACGUGACAAGAUUCCUACUCCUAGAAGAAAAUAUUUUAUUUCAUGGUGACCGGUUUGAUUAAAGGCAAAGUGUGGGGGAUCCUUUACAAGUUUAAUGGUGGCGGGGCACUUGCUUUAUGAAGGUGAUGAUGGGUGAAUUGUGAUAAGGGAGUUGUCUACCUGCUUGUGGGACCAUGGGUUCAACCGCUGUUAUAUGCACCGAUAAAAUAGUUAUGUGGUGGACAUGGAGGUUCUGAAACGAAGUUGUACAAUCUCAAGAUGAAGAACAGUGCAACUUCGUUUCAGUUUCUCCAUGUCCACGACAUAUACUGUUUUAACGAUGCAUAUAACAGUGGUUGAACCCAUUGUUUCACAAGCAGGUAGACAAGUCUCUUUAUGCAACUACAUCAACCAUCAUUUGCUUCAUAAAUUCGAGAAAUUGGAAAAAGGUGUGACAAAUAAUCUCUUUUGAUUUCUUGUAUGUGUGAAAGACAUGAAUGUCCUUUUCAUUUUAAUCGUCUAAAAUAGUCUUAAAAAGUUUGUCAAGUCAUAUAAUAAAUACAUACUACAAUGACGAUACAGAUGGUAUGUGUGAUCGUCAUUUUUUCGGUUUUUGUAUUUUAUAAAGCUUGUUUGAAAAAAGCUUUUCCAUGUCUAUAUAUAAAUAUCUGUUGGGUUACUAUCUAGAAAGUAUUGAGUUUCACAUUCAUGUAUUACUAAAAUGGUACAAGAACUUGUGACCAAGUUGACUGGAUCUACCUUUUGAAUUGUGUAAGAGAAAGAGUCAAAAGAAGUCUGGUGAUUGUACCGAGUCGAAUGCCAUCUUAUUUUUUGUUAAUUUUAAAAAUUAUUAUUAUAUUGAGUAAUAAAAAUAUUAAUAUCAAAACAAUACUUCAAAUUGCUAAAUAGAAUAAUAGUUAUUCACUAUAAAUGACAAUAUCUGAGAUUAUUU
This 1903-nucleotide long non-coding RNA is filed under the name Lactuca sativa (garden lettuce). Its description in RNAcentral is "long non-coding RNA (LSAT_LNC006141)". The record is from RNAcentral. Lineage: Eukaryota; Viridiplantae; Streptophyta; Magnoliopsida; Asterales; Asteraceae.